GAUGAACGCUAGCGACAGGCUUAACACAUGCAAGUCGAGGGGCAGCAACACUUUCGGGUGGUUGGCGACCGGCGCACGGGUGAGUAACACGUAUGCAACCUACCUACUACUAGAGGAUAGCCCGUUGAAAGACGGAUUAAUACUUUAUGACACAGGGGUGCCGCAUGGCAAUAUUGGUUAAAGAUUUCAUGGUAGUAGAUGGUCAUGCGCAGGAUUAGCUAGUUGGUUGAGGUAACGGCUCACCAAGGCAACGAUCCUUAGGGGUUCUGAGAGGAAGGUCCCCCACACUGGUACUGAGACACGGACCAGACUACUACGGGAGGCAGCAGUGAGGAAUAUUGGUCAAUGGACGAGAGUCUGAACCAGCCAAGUCGCGUGAAGGAAGACGGUAUUAUGUAUUGUAAACUUCUUUUAUAGGGGAAUAAAAUGCGGCACGUGUGCUGUUUUGUAUGUACCCUAUGAAUAAGCAUCGGCUAACUCCGUGCCAGCAGCCGCCGUAA
RNAcentral lists this ribosomal RNA (500 nucleotides) under uncultured bacterium. Its description in RNAcentral is "partial 16S ribosomal RNA". It matches the Rfam family "Bacterial small subunit ribosomal RNA", at positions 28 to 523 of the family's 1533-position model. The record is from RNAcentral.